CCCAACGCCCAACUUUCUUCUUUUUUCUUCCUUCAUGUCCACACCCAGAUCUGAUAGAGAUCAGAUCUAAGAAGAGAAAAGAGAGAGAAGAAGAGAAGAAGGGUUCUUCUUCUCUUCAUGGUGAUCUGGUUCAGAUUCCGUCGGAUCUGCACAAAAGAGUUCGCGUAGCGAUCUGCUUCUUCAAGAUCUAGAAGAAGAGAUCAAGAUCCAUGG
RNAcentral lists this long non-coding RNA (213 nucleotides) under Elaeis guineensis (African oil palm). Its description in RNAcentral is "long non-coding RNA (EGUI_LNC049318)". Lineage: Eukaryota; Viridiplantae; Streptophyta; Magnoliopsida; Arecales; Arecaceae. The record is from RNAcentral.